AUGCAAGUCGAACGGUAACAGGAAGAAGCUUGCUGCUUUGCUGACGAGUGGCGGACGGGUGAGUAAUGUCUGGGAAACUGCCUGAUGGAGGGGGAUAACUACUGGAAACGGUAGCUAAUACCGCAUAACGUCGCAAGACCAAAGAGGGGGACCUUCGGGCCUCUUGCCAUCGGAUGUGCCCAGAUGGGAUUAGCUAGUAGGUGGGGUAACGGCUCACCUAGGCGACGAUCCCUAGCUGGUCUGAGAGGAUGACCAGCCACACUGGAACUGAGACACGGUCCAGACUCCUACGGGAGGCAGCAGUGGGGAAUAUUGCACAAUGGGCGCAAGCCUGAUGCAGCCAUGCCGCGUGUAUGAAGAAGGCCUUCGGGUUGUAAAGUACUUUCAGCGGGGAGGAAGGGAGUAAAGUUAAUACCUUUGCUCAUUGACGUUACCCGCAGAAGAAGCACCGGCCAACUCCGUGCCAGCAGCCGCGGUAAUACGGAGGGUGCAAGCGUUAAUCGGAAUUACUGGGCGUAAAGCGCACGCAGGCGGUUUGUUAAGUCAGAUGUGAAAUCCCCGGGCUCAACCCGGGAACUGCAUCUGAUACUGGCAAGCUUGAGUC
This 604-nucleotide ribosomal RNA is filed under the name uncultured Gammaproteobacteria bacterium. RNAcentral describes it as "bacterial SSU rRNA". It matches the Rfam family "Bacterial small subunit ribosomal RNA", at positions 55 to 648 of the family's 1533-position model. Lineage: Bacteria; Pseudomonadati; Pseudomonadota; Gammaproteobacteria. The record is from RNAcentral.